Molecule: unclassified non-coding RNA, 1028 nt
Organism: Bradysia coprophila
Lineage: Eukaryota; Metazoa; Arthropoda; Insecta; Diptera; Sciaridae
Source: RefSeq, a predicted model, not a curated record
CACAAGACAACUCUUUUAUUUUUUACAUGAAAUUUUCCGAACUGAAAAUGUACUCCAUCCUGACAAUUGCCUUGGUUGUAAUAACAUUCACACAGGCCAUCGACUGGCAUAAUAGACAACUGAGCAAAGGAUUGCGACUUCAAGGGAAACGAUCUAAAAAUAGUACAUUCCAGUGGCGACGAAUGUAGGAGUAGGUGUACUGCGACACCAGGCUGCACUCAUUAUAGUUGGGUCGACACUUUCAUUUCUCCCGCAUUUCCUUACAUCCUUAAGAAAGGCCUUGGCGUCUGCUACAUGAAAACGAAUGUAGUGUUCAGAACCUACGCUGUAUCGAAAAAAUGGGAUUGCUGCAAGCCAUCUUGCGCGUCGAAUGAGGCGUCUGUAAGAAAUCCAGUCGUUUCAUGUUCGCCCGAUGAUAUACAAAUUCACAAUAAUUCCAAUGUUGAAGAUGGAUGUAGUGGUGGCGAUGCUUUUACAUGCGGAUUCUACCAACCGUGGGAAGAGAAUGAUUACGUCUCCAAUGGAUUCGCCACAGUCCGCUUACCUAGAAAAUAUGAUGCUGACUUGUGUUGCAUGUGCUUCAAAUUGAAGUUUACUUCCGGUCCGGUAGUUGGAAAGGAAAUGAUAAAACAAGUGAUAAAUACUGGUGAUACUGUGACAGAAUGAAAUUAUUUUGAUCUUUUGAUACCAGGAACAGGAGACAGCAGUGCGAAUGGAUGCUCAACACAAUGGGGACACCAUUAAAACAGAUCAUGUUGAUUUUGGACGGGUACAAAGUGAAGAGGAGUGUUCACGACUUCCGCCGUACCUCAUUAAAGGAUGCAUUUGGCGUUUUAAAUGGUUCCAAAAUGCUGACAGUCCAACUUUCGAUUUCGUCGAAGUUCGGUGUAAUCAGAGGCUCUACGCUAGAAGUGGCUGUGAAAGACAGGACACUAUAUAAUACAAAAAUGACCUUCAAUCAAAAAUGAGGAAAUUUUGUUGUAAAAUAUUCCUCAGAUUUGUGUGAAUUAUGUUAAGAAAGAACUAUA